This 543-nucleotide long non-coding RNA is filed under the name Chinchilla lanigera (long-tailed chinchilla). RNAcentral describes it as "lncRNA (ENSCLAG00000023612.1)". Lineage: Eukaryota; Metazoa; Chordata; Mammalia; Rodentia; Chinchillidae. The record is from RNAcentral.
UUGCUGGGUUGAGCUCCCUCCAGUCCAGCCCUAGAUCUGCCAGUUCAUUGCUUGCCAUUUCAAUUCAGGGCCAGGAGCCUCCUCCUGCUGCUUUUGGCUUUGCUGCUGGUGGCCUGCAGCUGGAAGUGUCUUGACUAUUACAUAAGACAUAGAGAGCUAAGAGUGUGUGAACCUGCUCCACCCUGGCCGUCCACCCCAGGCUGCUGACGUGCCGGGUCCUGGGUCCGGUGCUGGGGGCACCAGGUUCAAAGCCAGCUCCUCCCGGGGAAGACUUACGAGUGCUCACAAGGAGGAGGCUGGGAUUUACAACGGCUGGCUGUCAGAGCAGAAGUAAGGUCCGCACCAGCGUUGCACAGGGUCAACAUUCAUGUGGCCUGGGAUGAGACGGGACAGCCGCGGCCCUCAAGAAAGGCAGAAGUGUUGGCUCCAGGAAAUUGCUUCUGUUCCCGCAUGAGGGUUUCCCCCUCUACACCACAGGAUGUGCUUCCUACAGCCUCCCCCGGGAAAAGUAAGACGCCUGCCAGCCUUACAGGAAUAAGAUGA